RNAcentral lists this long non-coding RNA (3222 nucleotides) under Lactuca sativa (garden lettuce). Its description in RNAcentral is "long non-coding RNA (LSAT_LNC001341)". The record is from RNAcentral. Lineage: Eukaryota; Viridiplantae; Streptophyta; Magnoliopsida; Asterales; Asteraceae.
UAAAACAUAUGGAUUUGGAAUUAGUGGGUUGACAGAGCUAACUAAGGCAAUAGGACCUCCUGACAAUCCUCUUAGCGUUUGAGAAACGUUAGAUUCAUGGCCCUAUAGUUGGUUAAAUAACCGAUAGAGCUUCAGUUUCUUCAGAGAUCCGUUGCUCUAAAGAAAUUAAUUAACAUGACCCCAUCUUUUUUUAGACCAUUGAUGAAAUUCAGAUUUUACUCGAGUGGAUUUGGACUAUUCCAUGUGCAGUCAUGUUGUUCACGAUGAUCCUAUACCGAUUUGAUGCAGAGGAUACAUAUUCACCCAUAGUUGUAGUGAAGGUGUCGAAGUCAUUAACAACAGAUGUCGAACCCCUAUCCUUCAUCUUCUCAGAACCUUCGAACAAGUCUUGAACUGUAUCCUAAAUCACUUUGGCAGAUUUGCCGAAUUUCAUGUGCUCAAAGAGAGAAUGAGGAACACCAAACACUAUUUCAGAGAAUGCAAUCUGAUCUGCAUGGAGCUUCUCAAUGUCGGAUGCGGUUAGAGGUAUUGGACGUUGUCCAUAUUGACCAGAGAGUGCAACAACAACAUCUAUAACCAAUUGUCUAACAGGAACAUGAGGACCUUCUUUCACAAAUCUCCAUAUCACUUAACCUUUUUCCUUACCAAGUAAAAAUCUCUCCAUUCUAAAUUCCCAGUCAUCAUACUCUUCAACAAACAACAAUGGGGGUACGCGUUAAGCAACCCACGCUAUUUGCUAUUUACAUUGAAUACAUAUGUUGAGUUUUAUUAGAAGCAGCCAUUGAAGUUAAAGUAUUAGAGCUGAAGUGGUAUAUAGAAGAAAUUUUAUCCUGAACACAUAAAUGACUUAGAUACCAAGGUUACUUUUGAUGAGGCAUCUACAUCCAAAAAUGUGUAAGAAUGAUAUACUCAAUUUUUGACCAUUCAUGGCUUCGUACGGUAUCAUGUUAAGACGGUGAUUAAUGAUGCUUUGAUUUUGAGUGAAGCAAGUACUAGAGACGAUUUCAGCCCAAAAGAUAGAGAUUAAGGAUUACGAAUUUCAACAUUGAUCGAGCGACUUCAACGAGAGUUCAGUUUCUUCUUUCAACCACACCAUUAUGUUGAGGAGUGUAGGGAGCAUAGAAAUUAUGGUUGAUGUCUUUACCGAAGAGAAAUUUCUCAACGGUUCCAUUAGUGAAUUCAGAGCCUUUGUCACUUCAGAUUCUUCGAACAGGGAGUUUGACAAGAACUUCAAUUCCUUUAAUGAAAUUAAUGAUUUCGGUGGCUAUUUUGGAUUUUUCCCCAUAGAAGAAGACCCAAGUGAACCGUGUGUAGUCAUCAAAAAUCACAAGAAUAUACUUUUUGUAAUGCAAACUUUCUACAGUGGACGGUCCACAAAGAUCGAUACGAAGAAGUUCUAAUGGUUCUGAAAUUAACAUUUCAAUUAUAAUAGGAUGACCUUUCUUGGAUCGCUUCCCACAUUCACACACAACAUAGAGAUGAUCAUUUUCGAAUUUAAGGAGUGGUAGACCUCAGACCAUUUCACCAGAUGCAAGAUCAUUCAUGUAUCAGAAGUUGAGAUGAACGAGCCUCUGAUGCUAUAACCAACUUAUGUCAGGAACGAGCUUUGAAAGAAGAAAAUGUUGAGUUUUUCAGAUGAUCAUGUUGAUGCCUAAGGGUACAUAUUUUUUUAUGCAAUUUGAUUUUAUAAGACAUUCUUUCUGAUCUUUUGUCAUAAUGUUCGUGUGCUUUUUGCAGAAUUCAACUAUAUGGUUUGCAUUAGUGAGUUAAGGCACAUUGAUCAGAUUAUCCUUGAGAUCAGCUACAUACGCCAGAUUAGAGACAGAGAAAUUUCCGUUAGUCAAGACGCCAUAACCUCGAAUUUUUUAUUUUCAAUUGCUUCCAUAUGUCACGUAACCAGCAUUAGGAGCGAGCUUCAGAUCACGCAAAAAAACAUUCUAUGGAAGACUCAUAGGCUCUAUGAAUAACUGUCAUAUAUGAUUGUUUUAAGCAAGAUAAGGUUCACAAAUAGAUAAAUCAAAACAAUUGUCAGUGAUCAUGGAUUUUACUUGCAGGAUGGUGCUUCUACCUGGAGGAUCAUUUGUUUCCAUAUGUAACAAAAGUUAGGCUCAACAUCGUCAUCCUUUACUUCAGAUCUAGAAGACCAGUAUCCUUCAUCACAUUAAAUUCAUUGUAUACCCAUAAGACACACGUUUCUUGACACCAUGGUAGCAAAAUCCUUUUCACUUUCACCUAGUUCUUGUGCUCUAUGAGCAUACUAGAUAGAGUCUUUUACCUUCGGUUUCUAAGAAAUAUAAGCCAAACAGUCCUUUGAAAAGUGCUUUCUAAGACCACAUUUGUGACAGCUAACCUUGGGUUUGACUGGUUUCGGAACAUCCUGAGGUUCCGAGGAAUGAUUUGGAAUGUUGGGUUGGUAAGCUAGUGGAUUUUGUGCUGGUUUAGGAAAGGGUUGAGGAUUGAUUUGAUGAGGAUCUCGACAUCGGUUUGGAAAGGUUUAUGAUUGGGAUUCCAGGGAUGUUUAUACUUCAUAGGAAAAAGUGAAAAGUCUUGUUGAAAGCGAAGUUCAGAAUCAGCUGAGUCGAGAUCAAGAUUAAUUUUCAUCAAUGAAUGGCUUAGAACAGGUGAGAUAGGUGGAGUAGGAAGUGUUGGUUGAACAUGUGAAACGGGUGGGAUGGUUCCUAAAGGAUCUAAAACAUAUGGAUUUGGAAUUAAUGGGUUGACAGAGCUAACUAAGGCAAUAGGACCUCCUGACGAUCCUCUUAGCGUUUGAGAAACGUUAGAUUCAUGGCCCUAUAGUUGGUUAAAUAACUGAUAGAGCUUCAGUUUCUUCAGAGAUCCAUUGCUCUAAAGAAAUUAAUUAACAUGACCCCAUCUUUUUUUAGACCAUUGAUGAAAUUCAGAUUUUACUCGAGUGGAUUUGGACUAUUCCAUGUGCAGUCAUGUUGUUCACGAUGAUCCUAUACUGAUUUGAUGCAGAGGAUACAUAUUCACCCGGAGUUGUAGUGAAGGUGUCAAAAUCAUUAACAACAGAUGUCGAACCCCUAUCCUUCAUCUUCUCAGAACCUUCAAACAAGUCUUGAACUGUAUCCUAAAUCACUUUGGCAAAUUUUCCGGAUUUUAUGUGCUCAAAGAGAGAAUGAGGAACACCAAACACUAUUUUGGAGAAUGCAAUCUGAUCUACAUGGAGCCUCUAAAUGUCGGAUGCGGUUAGAGGAGUUGGAC